GACGAACGCUGGCGGCGUGCUUAACACAUGCAAGUCGAGCGGUAAGGCCCUUUCGGGGGUACACGAGCGGCGAACGGGUGAGUAACACGUGGGUGACCUGCCCUCAGCUCUGGGAUAAGCCCUGGGAAACUGGGUCUAAUACCGGAUAUGACUCCAUGACGCAUGUUGUGGGGUGGAAAGCCUUGUGCGGCUGAGGAUGGGCCCGCGGCCUAUCAGCUUGUUGGUGGGGUGANGGCCUACCAAGGCGACGACGGGUAGCCGGCCUGAGAGGGCGACCGGCCACACUGGGACUGAGAC
Molecule: ribosomal RNA, 297 nt
Filed under: uncultured bacterium
Lineage: Bacteria
Description: partial 16S ribosomal RNA
Rfam family: Bacterial small subunit ribosomal RNA
Source: RNAcentral